AGCACUUCUCUGUGGGUAACAUCAGAAAAACAUGCCCCAGCUCUGCUCAGCUGAACGCUCACAGCCACAUACUUGGGAAGAAUCGGCCCUGGAAGAUGAGUGAGGACAGAGGACAAAGGAGCAAGCCUCUGCCACCCUUGCUAGGAGAACAAGCUGUGAAUUACUAAUGGGCAGGCGUGCAGGCACAGUGAGUGUAUUAUGGCCAAGUCAGAAUAGUGAAUGCAACAGCCAUGGGGCCUGGACCCAUUUGCACCCAGCACAGUGAAUUCACUGCGGGGAAAUCCACCAAAUCUCCCUCCUGCCAACGUUUUCAAGACUCUCCCUCCAGAUGCUGGAUGACAUGAUGAGCCUGGCUGGGAGCCCACUCUCUGCUCCAUCGGCCCACCCUCCCUUUGUGUUGUCUGUGGGUGGAGUAAGCUGUUGCCAACCGUGGCCAAAUGAAAAGCCCGAUGCCCUCCCUUCUCUCUAAAAGCUAUUUAUUGUUUUCCGAGGAGCCAGCCAUCAAAGAGAUCUCCUGUGCCCCACGCACUCCUCCCAACUCCCAGUUUUUGACUGAAAAAAUGCUAACAUCCGACCAGAUACCAGAAAAACAUCCUGAAAGACAAUGCCUGGACUCUUAUUUCCUAGGGAGCAGGACCAGGGCUUAUUACCACAUCAGCCUAUCUUGUUUUUACUGCUGUGAUGUUGCUGACAACAUAGCUGAAAUCUCCAACGUCUCCUUGUUCCUACCAGCAUUGAUUGGUUAUAUUUAAGCCUUCGUCCAGACCCACUUAUUCUCCGUUUCAUCUCAUUUUCUUCCCUGGCUCAGCGCGGUGCCAAGAAUUCUCUGGCUUUACACCCUGGAAGUGUGUUAUGAUGAGAUUCAAGAAACAAAAUGUGUGCAGAGAAGAUGCAAAUGGGUCACGUUGAUCUCCCAGCAGGGGUUAUUCAGAUAAUCCAGAAUAUUCUUACACAAAGUUUUUAAUAUUAUCAACAAAAUGCAAGAAAAAAUUUAAAAAAUUAUUGCAAAAAAGCAUGAGGUCCAAGAACACAUCUAAAGACCCCAGUUGGAGUGAAAUGGGUAUGGGGCAUGGGGAGGAAGGAUGGAGGCAACUGACACAGGAAGAGACAUUGUCUUUCUUCUGAAGGCAAUGAGGACGGCUAACCCUCACAAUGCGGUUUAUAUUACUCAGCAUCUUCUUUCAGUCUCUCUCCCUCCUUCCUUCCCUCUCCCUGUCUCUCUCUCUCCCUUCUUUCAUUCUUUCUGGGACAGAGUCUCACUCUGUUGCCCAAGCUGGAGCGCAGUGGCAUGAUCUCAGCUCACUGCAGCCUCCACCUCCCAGAGUCAAGCAAUCCUCCCACCUCAGCCUCCCAGGUAGCUACGACUAUAGGCACACGCCACCAUGCUCUGCUAAUUUGUGUAUCUUUUUUCGUAGAGAUGGGGUCUUGCCAUGUUGCCCAAGCUGGUCUCAAACUCCUGAGCUCAAGUGAUUCACCCGCCUCAGCCUCCCAAAGGGCUGGAAUUACAGGCGUGAGCCACCAUGCCCAGCCAUGCAUUUUCUUUGUAUACAUAUUUAGAAAGGCUUUAAAUCCUCGACUCAUAAUUGCCCUAAAUUUUGCUCUAAAUUUUUUUUAAAUUUUAUUAUUAUUAUACUUUAAGUUUUAGAGUACAUGUGCAUGACGUGCAGGUUUGUUACAUAUGUAUACAUGUGCCAU
This is a long non-coding RNA of Homo sapiens (human), 1695 nucleotides long. The record is from Ensembl. NCBI's taxonomy places the organism in Eukaryota, Metazoa, Chordata, Mammalia, Primates, Hominidae.